Molecule: non-coding RNA, 73 nt
Organism: Budorcas taxicolor (takin)
Lineage: Eukaryota; Metazoa; Chordata; Mammalia; Artiodactyla; Bovidae
Source: the annotation of a RefSeq genome assembly
UCCCUGGUGGUCCAGUGGUUAGGACUCUACACGUCCAAUGUAAGGGGCCCGAGUUCGAUCCCUGGUCAGGGAA